RNAcentral lists this ribosomal RNA (403 nucleotides) under uncultured bacterium. Its description in RNAcentral is "partial 16S ribosomal RNA". It matches the Rfam family "Bacterial small subunit ribosomal RNA", at positions 30 to 526 of the family's 1533-position model. The record is from RNAcentral.
AUCGAACGCUGGCGGCAGGCCUAACACAUGCAAGUCGAGCGAGCGGCGGACGGGUGAGUAAUGUAUGGGGACUGCCCGAUAGAGGGGGAUAACUACUGGAAACGGUGGCUAAUACCGCAUACUAUCGGCUACCCCACAUGGGAUUAGCUACUCGGUGGGGUAAAGGCUCACCUAGGCGACGAUCCCUAGCUGGUCUGAGAGGAUGAUCAGCCACACUGGGACUGAGACACGGCCCAGACUCCUACGGAGGCAGCAGUGGGGAAUAUUGGACAAUGGGCGCAAGCCUGAUGGAGCCAGGCCGCGUGUAUGAAGAAGGUCUUAGGGUUGUAAAGCACUUUCGGUAGGGAGGCGUUAUCCACAGAGGAAGCACCGGCUAACUCCGUGCCAGCAGCCGCGGUAAUAC